RNAcentral lists this ribosomal RNA (448 nucleotides) under uncultured bacterium. RNAcentral describes it as "bacterial SSU rRNA". It matches the Rfam family "Bacterial small subunit ribosomal RNA", at positions 355 to 825 of the family's 1533-position model. The record is from RNAcentral.
UAGGGAAUAUUGGACAAUGGGCGCAAGCCUGAUCCAGCCAUGCCGCGUGGAUGAUGAAGGCCCUAGGGUUGUAAAGUCCUUUUCGACGGGGAAGAUAAUGACGGUACCCGUAGAAGAAGCCCCGGCUAACUUCGUGCCAGCAGCCGCGGUAAUACGAAGGGGGCUAGCGUUGCUCGGAAUCACUGGGCGUAAAGCGCACGUAGGCGGACUCUUAAGUCGGUGGUGAAAUCCUGGAGCUCAACUCCAGAACUGCCUUCGAUACUGAGAGUCUCGAGUCCGAGAGAGGUGAGUGGAACUGCGAGUGUAGAGGUGAAAUUCGUAGAUAUUCGCAAGAACACCAGUGGCGAAGGCGGCUCACUGGCUCGGUACUGACGCUGAGGUGCGAAAGCGUGGGGAGCAAACAGGAUUAGAUACCCUCGUAGUCCCUGAGCGGGCUGGCAAGGCGCAU